UUUGGUUAAGUUAGAAAGGGCGCACGGUGGAUGCCUUGACACUAGGAGUCGAUGAAGGACGGGACUAACGCCGAUAUGCUUCGGGGAGCUGUAAGUAAGCUUUGAUCCGAAGAUUUCCGAAUGGGGAAACCC
Molecule: ribosomal RNA, 132 nt
Filed under: Bacillus thuringiensis
Lineage: Bacteria; Bacillati; Bacillota; Bacilli; Caryophanales; Bacillaceae
Description: partial 23S ribosomal RNA
Rfam family: Bacterial large subunit ribosomal RNA
Source: RNAcentral